GAGUUUGAUCAUGGCUCAAUUGAACGCUGGCGGCAUGCCUUACACAUGCAAGUCGAACGGCAGCACGGGCUUCGGUCUGGUGGCGAGUGGCGAACGGGUGAGUAAUGCAUCGGAACGUACCCGGGAGUGGGGGAUAACUAUCCGAAAGGAUAGCUAAUACCGCAUAUUCUGUGCGCAGGAAAGCAGGGGAUCUUCGGACCUUGUGCUCCCGGAGCGGCCGAUGUCAGAUUAGCUAGUUGGUGGGGUAAAGGCCUACCAAGGCGACGAUCUGUAGCGGGUCUGAGAGGAUGAUCCGCCACACUGGAACUGAGACACGGUCCAGACUCCUACGGGAGGCAGCAGUGGGGAAUUUUGGACAAUGGGCGCAAGCCUGAUCCAGCCAUGCCGCGUGAGUGAAGAAGGCCUUCGGGUUGUAAAGCUCUUUCGGCCGGGAAGAAAUCGUACGGGUUAAUACCCUGUGCGGAUGACGGUACCGGCAUAAGAAGCACCGGCUAACUACGUGCCAGCAGCCGCGGUAAUACGUAGGGUGCGAGCGUUAAUCGGAAUUACU
This 550-nucleotide ribosomal RNA is filed under the name uncultured bacterium. Its description in RNAcentral is "bacterial SSU rRNA". It matches the Rfam family "Bacterial small subunit ribosomal RNA", at positions 9 to 555 of the family's 1533-position model. The record is from RNAcentral.